This 433-nucleotide ribosomal RNA is filed under the name uncultured bacterium. RNAcentral describes it as "partial 16S ribosomal RNA". It matches the Rfam family "Bacterial small subunit ribosomal RNA", at positions 29 to 507 of the family's 1533-position model. The record is from RNAcentral.
AACGAACGCUGGCGGCAGGCCUAACACAUGCAAGUCGAGCGGACCCUUCGGGGUUGGCGGCGGACGGGUGAGUAACGCGUGGGAACGUGCCCUUUGCUUCGGAAUAGCCCUGGGAAACUGGGAGUAAUACCGGAUACGCCCUUUUGGGGAAAGAUUUAUCGGCGAAGGAUCGGCCCGCGUUGGAUUAGGUAGUUGGUGGGGUAAUGGCCUACCAAGCCGACGAUCCAUAGCUGGUUUGAGAGGAUGAUCAGCCACACUGGGACUGAGACACGGCCCAGACUCCUACGGGAGGCAGCAGUGGGGAAUCUUAGACAAUGGGGGAAACCCUGAUCUAGCCAUGCCGCGUGAGCGAUGAAGGCCUUAGGGUUGUAAAGCUCUUUCACCGGGGAAGAUAAUGACGGUACCCGGAGAAGAAGCCCCGGCUAACUCCGUG